This 452-nucleotide ribosomal RNA is filed under the name uncultured bacterium. RNAcentral describes it as "bacterial SSU rRNA". It matches the Rfam family "Bacterial small subunit ribosomal RNA", at positions 975 to 1448 of the family's 1533-position model. The record is from RNAcentral.
CAACCCNNGACAUCCUGUGCUACUACCAGAGAUGGUACGUUCCCUUCGGGGACGCAGUGACAGGUGCUGCAUGGCUGUCGUCAGCUCGUGUCGUGAGAUGUUCGGUUAAGUCCGGCAACGAGCGCAACCCACAUCUUUAGUUGCCAGCAGGUUAAGCUGGGCACUCUAGAGAAACUGCCCGUGAUAAGCGGGAGGAAGGUGUGGAUGACGUCAAGUCCUCAUGGCCCUUACGGGUUGGGCUACACACGUGCUACAAUGGCAGUGACAAUGGGUUAAUCCCCAAAAGCUGUCUCAGUUCGGAUUGGGGUCUGCAACUCGACCCCAUGAAGUCGGAAUCGCUAGUAAUCGCGUAACAGCAUGACGCGGUGAAUACGUUCCCGGGCCUUGUACACACCGCCCGUCACACCAUGGGAGUUGGUUCUACCCGACGACGCUGCGCUAACCCUNNGGNG